Long non-coding RNA from Lagopus muta (rock ptarmigan), 2432 nucleotides. RefSeq lists it as uncharacterized. The transcript is spliced from 3 exons. The record is from RefSeq and is a predicted model, not a curated record. Lineage: Eukaryota; Metazoa; Chordata; Aves; Galliformes; Phasianidae.
CACUGGGGAAGGAUCUUUGGUUGGAGAUCCCUCCCCUCUGGAGUUUUUUCUGCAAGCCUCGAUGUUUGGAAACAGGAGUGCUACAAAUCCCAUUUGGUAAUGUACAUUUGGAUGUCUUCAUAUGGAAGUUUCUACAGGAAUCACAAGGGGUUGUAAGAAAUCUUUCAAAAAGGGUUGAUUUCAGUAUUUUGUGAUUACAAAUAACCAAGUGAAGCAUAGCAAGUUCCAUGUGCAACACUGGUUGUCUCUCAAAGGGCUCCAAUCCAUAAGGAUAAAUUGAGGCAUGAUGAGAAUUCAUGAGCUCACAGUACGAACAAGUAUCACAUUGAGGAGAGAUAUAUACCUGCUCUGUGAUGAUUGCUUGUUGCAAUGAGAAUGCACAGAAAGCAAUAUACAACCUAAAUGAUUAAAGGCAAGAAGCAGAAGUCCACCAUAAAAGCAGCAGCCCAGAAUGCGUGUCAAGAGUGAAUUAUGAAAAUAGCCUUGUACGUCCAUGGCAAUUUCACAGAGCCAUUCUGAUAACGAUGAACACGACAGCAUGCAAUAGGAAUAACAAUGCCUGGAAUUAUUUCAAACGAUAUAUUUUUUAAGGACCGUCACUUUAGGUCUCUCUUUGCAUCUGUGCAUGGUAGCUGAAUUAAUGAUAAAUAUGACUCAAGCAACAAAAGAGUCGGCAUUAAACUCUAUUAUUAGUCCUCCUACCUCCCUGGAAAUAGCAUGAAGAUAUUCCUUACAAAUGAACAGCAGAUGAUCUUGUACCCAGUGAACCAUAGUUUGCACAGAGAAACCAAGAGGCUGAGGAAGAAGAAAAAGCCUCCCGGGUCACUUGGUGCCUUCCUGCAAGAUCUCCUGUCUCCAUGGGAGAGUUCCAGCCUGCAGGCAGCAGCUCAAUUCAGCCAAGAAGCGUUUCCACAGAUGAAAGGGUUGCGAUCAGGAAAAGUCAUCCAUGAUAGGAGUGAGCCAAAGUAAGAAAGGUUUCAGCUGGAGUCUUCCAGUCUGCAUUCCAUAGAGUUUUGAAGCCUUUGGCUCCCCUUGCUGCAGAGUGCUGUGCCACAGUUCUCCUCCACGCUUGCAUUUUUGCUCAUCUCCAUGCACGGCAUCUGUUGUGGAAAACAGGAUUUCCAUCAAACUGCCUCCCUCUCAGCUCUCCCCUCUCGCCCCCCCAGGCCAUUUGCCUCCCUAAAUCCUGCUGGGCUGCCCAGUGUCUGCCUGUCCUGUCCACUCUUGGAACAGCCGCACCAGAAGGGAAUUACUUCUCAUCCAAAACUGCUGGAAGACCUGCAAGGAAAGCAGUGUGAUUACAGAUCUUCUUCUCCCACCACUAAGCAAUGGGCUGGAAUUUAUUAAGCUUCAAUACCUGUCGCUCAUCCCAUGUCAAGGGUCUGCCAAGCAGAGCUGAAAGUCUCUAUUAACAAAUGUCUGUGUGAGGAGACCCUCAUGCAAGUUAAACACGUUCCUUUUUAUGCUAAGCUGUGCAAGGAAACCUGAUGUGUGCCUGUCUGUGUGGCUUUCUGGCCACGACAGGGAGAGAACUCCCAGCAUUCCUGAUUUCUCUCUCCACCAUAAGAGCCCACAGAUGGCCAGAAGUUCCUCUGCUCAUUAGCUAAUGACCCUUGGUAGCGCUGGUCUGGGCUGCAGAGCUGGGUGCCCUGCACACUCCUUGCUGUGAGGGCCAGCAGCUCCCUGCUGUGGGGACAUGCUGUCAGACAGCACUGGUUUUGCUGAGCAGCUCAGCUUGCAGCACACUGCGAUGAUUCCCUGUGGGUACAGUGAGGGAAGCACAAAUUUGGUAGGGGCUGCAUACUGCCUGAUACUGGAUCAGACCAGCCAGUGAAAAUAGAGUUGCUGUCUCAGACGUGCUUCAUUGGUAUUCUGGUGGCAGCCAGGCUAGAGACUGCACAAAAUUAUUUUCAAACAAGAAUUACAAUUGGAAAGGCAAAAAGAAAGAGAGAGAGGGAGAAUUCUGGGGGCAUUUGUCAGCUGAAAGCCUCAAGGUUGUAUUCAAGCUGCCUAGCUGAUGACAGAAUAAAGACAGGAAAACCUGAAACAAAUGGUGCUUCGAGGAUCAAAAAGAUGAGAUUCUGCCACAGAUACUUAGCGUUAAAAAGCUUUUCAUUGUGGAAAGGGGGAGUGGGACCAAGCUGAACCCAAGAUGAAUGGAAAUACACCACUCUCUUCUGCUGAAAGCAGGCUGGCAAGGCACUGCUUGGAUGGGGUAAACCCUGCAUGUCCUUCUAAGUGUGAUUUAUGCAACAAAGCAGCCAUCCUUACAUGCUGUAGCACUGUUCCCCUUCAUAUCUGCUAUUGGGCUGAUAGACACGAUGCUUAAUUCUGCCAAAUUUGUCAGUCUUGACCUGCGAGUCUGAUCUUUGGGAAAUUCUAUUCAUUGCUGAAUAAAUAAUGCAUGGGCAGCCAUGCAUAUUUCAUACUAA